CGCUUCUUUUAUUAGUUUUUAUUAGUUUUUCAAAAGUAUCAGAAAUAACAGAAUGUUGGGAGAAGAUAAAUCUGCCUUUUGAAACCAAAUAUUUAAUAUUUUCAUUAAAUUGUUUCAAUACAACUUCAGGCAAAUGCCAACUGGAAGACCAAGCCCAGAAAUUCAGAGGAAAUAAUCUUCCAAACAAGGAACACCAAGGUGAUCUUCUUCCAUUCCAGCCACAAUACUGGUGAUCAUAAUGGUGCUAGUCAGUUAUCCAGAUUAUCGAGUGUUUACCUGAUAAGAGAAAAACUUAGAUUUCAAAACCUGUAAUGACAGAAUUUUAAAGCUGGAAAAUGUUUAAGGCAAUUAAUAAAAGGAAAACCUGUAUUAAGAACUGCUGUCACCUUGAUGACUAGCAAAUAUUUAUCAAAAGUAAAAACUUGGCCAGGCACGUAUUUGUAAUCAGCUUAUGGCAGAAUACAUUUUGAGGAUUCAUCUCAUCUUCCUUCAGAUGUCAAAAUGGUACAAUCUAGUUAGGAGCUCUGAGAAUUGCUAUUUCCUCCAUUCCUAAAACAGGACAAGCAGCAACAGAACUGUCUAGAUCUAAAAUACUGAUGGAGGAGUAUCCUUUUUCCAAAAUGAUUAGGACCAGAAGUGUUUUGAAUUUUGGAGUAUUUCAAAUUAGGAAUGCUCAAUUUACAGAUAAUUCACUUAUUUGUUUACUCUGUCUAGUAUGUAAUCUCUGAGAGCAAAGACUUUUGUUCACUAAUGUGAACAUGGUAGAUAGGUGGCCCGCCAACACCGCCAAAAGGGCAAACCAC
This 803-nucleotide long non-coding RNA is filed under the name Homo sapiens (human). RNAcentral's name for it is "HSALNT0302817". The record is from RNAcentral. Lineage: Eukaryota; Metazoa; Chordata; Mammalia; Primates; Hominidae.